Molecule: microRNA precursor, 194 nt
Filed under: Oryza glumipatula
Lineage: Eukaryota; Viridiplantae; Streptophyta; Magnoliopsida; Poales; Poaceae
Description: MIR812 microRNA precursor family
Rfam family: MIR812 microRNA precursor family
Source: Rfam by way of RNAcentral
UAUAAGUGUAGUUGUGGGUUUUUCCGUUUGACUAUCUAUGUUAUUUAAAAAAAAUAUGAUUACUAUUUUUAUGUUAUUAGAUGAUAAAACAUGAAUAGUAUUUUAUGUGUGAUUAUUUUAUUUUAAUUUUUUUAUAAUUUUUUUAAAUAUGACAGAAGGUUAAAAGUUAGAUAAAACCCACAACUGCACUUGUA